RNAcentral lists this long non-coding RNA (443 nucleotides) under Gallus gallus (chicken). RNAcentral's name for it is "long non-coding RNA NONGGAT003520". Lineage: Eukaryota; Metazoa; Chordata; Aves; Galliformes; Phasianidae. The record is from RNAcentral.
GCAGUGGUGGGCCACUCUGAGGAAGCGAAUGCUCCACUGACAGCGGGGAUGACUCACACGUGAGAGCUGUGUCUUGAGCUGUCCUGAAAAUCUCCCUUUUAAGAAGGUGAUGGCUGAGCCAUCCUCUCCUGCUAUUCACUGUGGCCAACCAAUACCAUUCACUUCUGCAGACUUACCCUUACGCUGCGGAGUUGGGCAUCCAGUGUUCAAGAAAACAACUCAUAAAUGGAAAAUAGCACCAUUCUGACUGAAGAACAAGUCCUUGAUGUCAGACAUGCAUUCACUGCAGCCCUUACCAAAUAAAUGGAGAAAAUGGCUUACAGGCAACCAUCAGGUUACAGCUUUGGGGUGCUGUCAGCAUACAAGGUCACAGCUGUCAAAAACGCACCAGGAACACAGGUACUUUUCAAAACAACACAGUAUGUUAUCACCGGUCCUCACAG